Molecule: long non-coding RNA, 578 nt
Organism: Mustela erminea (ermine)
Lineage: Eukaryota; Metazoa; Chordata; Mammalia; Carnivora; Mustelidae
Exons: 3
Source: RefSeq, a predicted model, not a curated record
CUGAGCAGACGGCAGUUGGUUAACCAACUGAGCCAUCCAGGAGCCCAACCCAGAAUUUUCCAGGAGCCACCUGGGAGCCAAGACUGCGGCGGGAGACCAUUCCUUACUUUCCAUCCAGCCAUCAGCGCCCUGUUUUCUCUCCAGCAGAACACUGGGGCCACCGCAAGAGCCACAGGGAUACUUGAUGAGGACACUGAGAGCGGAGACCCUGACCCUUCUGACCAUGGUUGAACUCCAGCACCCAGAACGCAGGCUACACUCACCCAAGUGGGAUGAUUCAAGAUGACCCCCUUGGUCCGUGGGCUGGAGCAGGGAGCCCACUUGGGGCCGAUUCCACACAGCUCGGGCUGGGAAGCUGGAAGCUGCAGAGUCAAGUCUCCUUCAAGCCAUCUCCGCCAGUCAGCUUGAGUAUUUUCCCCCCUGGGAUGGAUUUCCCCGUAAAAUAAAUGUCUUGUCUGAAUUAAUCUUAUUUUUAAAAGGAGAGAGUCAUCAUAUUGUAAAGACAGAUCAUAAAAAGAUGCAUCAAUCUGUCAGAAGGCUGGUUACGAUGAGUGUUUGUUUAGCAGAAACAGUGCCCC